Molecule: long non-coding RNA, 10030 nt
Filed under: Homo sapiens (human)
Lineage: Eukaryota; Metazoa; Chordata; Mammalia; Primates; Hominidae
Description: HSALNT0357922
Source: RNAcentral
UGAGCCACUGUGCUUGGCCCAUCUCUUUUUUUCUUAAUCAAUCUUGCAAAGGAUUUGUCCAUUUUAUUAAAUUUUUCCAAAAACUUCUUUUUGGUGUUUACUAACCUCUAUGAUUACAUUUAUUUAUAUCUGUUCCUGUCUUUAUCAUUUCUUGUAUCGAUCUUCUGUGGGUUUAAUUGGCCAUUCUUUUUCUAGCUUCUUUUAAUUGACAUUUAGAGAACUGAUUUUCUUCCUUCCUUCUUUGCUAAUAUAAUCAUUUAAAGUUAUAAUUUUUAUUUAAGAACUAUUUCAGCUGCAUACCACAGGUUUGGAUAUGUAUCUUUUCCCACCAAUUCAAAAUAGGUUUUUCAUAUCCAAUUCAAAAUAUUUUAUAAUUUUCAUUGUGACUUCUUCGACUCAUGGUUUAUUUAUAAGUGUGUGGUUUAAUUCCUAAAUAUUUGAGUAUUUUAAAAAGCUAUACUCCUGUAAGUGAUUUAUAGUUUAAUUCCACUGUAUCCAGAAAUAUACUUUUAUAUGAGUUCAAUCUUUUGAAAUUUGUUAAGAUUUUAUUUUAUGAUCCAGUUUAUGAUUUAGAAUGGUAAAUGUAUUAUGUGCACUAGAAAUAAUGUGGUUUUUACAGUUGAUUAGUGUAUCAUUAGGUCAGGAUAUGAAUCUUCUUUGUAUUUUCUGUAUUCUCACUAAUAUUUUGCCCUUUUAGAAGGAAAUAACAAAGAUCAGAAUAGAAAUAAAUGACAUAGAGAGUAGAAAAGCAAAUAGAUCAAUGAAACUCAAAAGUUAAUUUUUGUGAAAUGAUACAAUUUCCAAACUUUAGCUAAAAUAACUAAGAAAAAUACAGAGAAGACUCAAAAUCAGAAAUGAGAGGAGACACGACAACUGAUAACAUACAAGUACAAAGGAUCAUAAGAGCUACAUUCCUUUGUGUUACAUUGUUUUCUCUUUACAUUCUGAUUGUCUCUCGCUUGCUCGCUGUCUUCUUUUAAAGUUUUGUUUCAGAAGAACUAAAAAAAUCUAGGUUUAAAAUGUACAGAUAUCCUUUGUAACUUAGCAUUAGGCAAAAUUGUCUUAGAGAACUCAAUUACUUUUCAAGUAAAAAAUGAUAAAUUGAAUUUCAUCAAAAUUAAAGAUUAACUCAGUUUGUUAAACAUUAGGAAAACAGGCAAACCAUGACUAGGAGAAAAAUAUUUGCAAAUAUUGGCCUGCAUCUGUCAAAGGAUACAUAGGAUACAGAAACAACUGCUAUAAGCCAGCAAUAAAAAGACAGAACUGGGAAGGGAUGGCCAGGGACCAAAGGAGAAGAAAUGAAACACAGGAUAGACCACCUUCAGUGUCCUUGGUCAGGAAUUCCCAUUCCUUAAUGUUGUGGGCUAAAUAGUGUCGCAAAAAAAAAAAAAAAAAAAAAAAAUCUAUGCAAGUCCUAACCACCAGGACUUAUGAAUGCACCCUUAUGUGGAAUUAGGGUCUUUACAGUUAUGAUAAAGACAAGGCGAGGCCACACUGGAUUAGAGCAGGCCCUAAUCCACUGACUGGUGUCCUUCUAAGAAGAGGGAAAUUUGGACACGCAGUCACACAAGGAGAAUGCUGUGUGAUGAAGAAGGCAGAGAGUGGAGUGACACAUCUUUAAGACAAAGACUGCCAAAGAUUGUGGACAAUACUGGUAUCAGAAACUUCUGCCAACUUCUUCUGAAACGUCUGCCUACAAACUUGUUUUCUACUAAAAUCGUCCAUUCUAUGAGAAAACACAGAAUAUGAUGAACCAUUCAGCCAGGAAACUGCUGCUAAUUCCUCAGGGCUGUUUACCUAUGAUGGCCUAUAUCAGAAGCUAGGAGUGAGGCAUAGAAUAAUAUUCCUCAGAGCCUCCAGUAGGAACCAACCCUAGUGACACCUUGCUCUCAGACUUCUAGCCUCCAGCACUGUGUAAGAAUAAAUUUAUGUUGUUUUAAGCCACCCAGUUUGUGGUAGUUUAUUAUGGAAGCCCUAGAAAACAAAUACACUUGGCAGUGGAGACUCCUGUUGUGUAUACUACAGUAGACUGAAUUGUUCCCUGGAAAACAUCCUUCUGAGCUUCAGUCUUAUGAUUGGGAAGACAGAAAAACAGAGAGAGAGAGAGAGAGAGAGAAUGAAUGAAUGAAUGAAUUGAGAUAUUUUCAUGUGCUUUCCAGGACCUCCAUAAAAAGUCACUCUGCGGUCUGGGCUCACAUCCCCACUGGGGGAUUCAUGAGGAGGGAGUGGGCUACUGUAGUGUGUGUGAUUCAAAGGCUGGGUCCUGCUACAUUUAUGAGAAUAAUGAUGGCUUCGACGUUGACCUCACAGGAAGGUGUCUCCACAGUACUGAAGGCCAAUCUGGGCAAGGAGCUGCAGGCCACCCUCAGGCAGACACCAGGCUUUUAGCUAAGGGUGAGGGGGAACUUCGGAGCCCAAUGAGCCCAUGUAACCCACAGCAGGACUUUGUCACUGCAACCAAAGUGAGUAGCGGGGAGCUGGCUGGGAGAGGACCAGGAGUGAGCUAGGUGUGUGUACAGGUUGGGUGCCAUGUGAUUUAAAUCUUUACAGGAGAAUCAGAGUGGAACAAGAGGUGAAGAAAAACUUGUAGAAGGGGUUUCUGAGUACCUUUUAUGUGCCAUAUUUUGUACUUAGAAACUUUGCACCAUGACCUCAUAAAACAUCAUUUUACAAAAGAGGAAAAGAGAAUCUAAGAGGUUGGGACACUCGCAGCGAGCUCACAGUUCACGUGAGGUAGCUUUAGAAAGUUGAAAAUUCACAACUGUCUCACUCAAAACUCAUGUCAUCAAGCAUAUUCUCCAUGUGUUAAUCCAUACUCUAGGUCAUAAAUUGGUUCAAGCAAUUCCUCUUGUUCUUCUCUCCCAGUUUCUGGCCAGUGUUACAUAACCUAGCUCUUCCUUUCAGACUUGCCUCCCCUUAUCAUCCCACCUCAAGAGGCAUCACUUAGAGAUGCCAAAAGAAGAAACUGCUGAGGACAGGCAACCACUUUCACAUGGAAGGACAGAAUGAUACAUAAAACAAAGAUGAUGAGGCAGUACCAUACCCUUCCUUACACACACACAAGCACACAUACAAGAAACACCCAAGAGACACACAAAAUAAACAUGUAUACAGCAAACAUACAAACACUCAUAGAUGCAUAGAAGCCAGACUCUAAUCAAAGGCCUGACUGUGAUCCCUCUCUUCUCCAGCUCUGAUCUUGCAGGAAUCCAUGAUCAUGGAGGGAAAUAGGACCUUUGCCAGCAACAGGCAGUCAUUUGGCCGCCCACUGUGAACUCUGUGUCCAUGAGUCCAUCACCACCCUCAUGGACCUGAAGAACACAGGCCUAGUAUGUCUCAUGAGGAAAGUAACACACCUACCUGGGCCUAAGGGAGGCCCCAGUCCCAGGAAAUUGCGCUACCUGAAUGAGACCCCUGUAACUGUACAUUUGCUACCCAGAGGAGCCUGAUGGACAAGACAGAGGAAAGUGCGUGGAGAUGAACGGGAUAGGAAAUGGAAUAACAUAAACUUUGUGCAGUCCUAUCUCACUAUGUGAGUUCCACAUGCAUCACCAGGAAAGUCAGGAAGAUUAAUGCUUGUUCCAGAAACGGGAUUGCUCCCUCAGAGCACCCUUCUGGGCACCAAUAUCUGAAUAGUAAUGGUUAGUUUGGGCCUACCAGUUUGCCAAAUUUUGUAUGAAAACUACUGUUGUUAGCUGAAAGGUAACCUCCAAUGAUAUAUUCAUAUUCUAAUCUCUGGGACCCGUGAAUGUUACUUUACAGGGCAAAAUAGUGCAUACUAUCUUAUAUGUGAUAUGAUUAAAUUAAGGAUCUUGCAAGGAGGAAUUACCCUGGAUUAUUUGGUUGGGCUCUUUUUUAGCCAUUUCAGAUUGCUGUAACAAAGUAUUGUAGACUGGGUGACUUAUAAAUAACAAAUUUAUUUCUCACAGUCCUGGAAGAUGGAAGUCCAAGAUCAGCAUGCUACCAUGGCCGGGUUCCGAUGAGGUUGUGGACCUCUUCCAGGUUCUAGACAGCUGACUGCUCCUUGUGCUCUCACAUGGUAGAAAGAGACUGGUAGAGCUCUCUAGAGUCACAGACUCCAUAAUGGCACAAACUCAUUUAGCAGAGCUCCACCCUCAUGACCUAAUCACCUCCAAAGGCCACAACUUCUAAUACCAUCAUAUUGACAGUUAGGAUUUCAAGAUAGGAAUUUCGAGAGGAAACAAACAUUCAGUCCAUUGCAGGCCCUAAAUAAAAUCACAUGUAUCAAGAUGGGCAGGGGGAGUUUGGAGACAGAUGUCCAGAAGAAGAAGAGGAAGGAAUGAGGAAGCAGAGAUUGGAGCAAUGCAGCCACAAGCAAAGAAACAUCUGCAAACACUGAAGGAAGGAAGAAGAAAGCUGAGGCUGAAAGAGGCAAGAAAGAGAUCCUCCCCUACAGUGUCUAAAGGGAGUGUAGCCCUGCCAACACUUUGAUUUCAGACUUCUGGACUCCAGAAAUUGGAGCAAAUGAAUUUUUGUUGUUUUAAUCCACCUAGCUUGUGUUAAUUUACUACAGUCAUCCUAGGAAACUAAAACAAGUAUGCACAGGAGUUUUUGCUCAGGACUCAUGAAAAACUACAGGCUCCUGAAGGAGGCAUGAGCCUGUCCUUUGGACAAUCUCUAUGCAGUGGCCACCACAAAUAGUAGCACCCCUCUCCUAUAAAGUGUGUCUGCGGGUUAUGAGGCAAACUCCAGUUGCUCCUCUUUCAGGAUCCAUGGGAUCACCUUUUCCUGGAGAAUGAAGAAUGUCUUGAAAUCAUGAGCACCAGAAUUCUCUCAUUCCUGGAGGCCCUUGAAAGGCUGAUCCUUCUCUGUGUCCUUUAGUAUCUUUGUCCCACUCCUGUCUGCUCUAAGAUGUGGUCAUUUUGAUGCUGGCCCCUUAAACUCUGCAGCUGUGGAUGUCUAUGCCCAAUUCUGGGUCUUUCAUAACAGCAUCUUUAUCAAUUACAUGCACUAAGGGUCUGUUUCCCACCCAUGUCUGCAAUCAGUUGAUUUCAACCUCCCUCCUACCAAGAGUGGCUUCUCUUCCUACAUUUGUUAACCCAGGAUCUCAGUGGGUCUCUCUGUUCCUAUCCAUGAUGUGGUCUGUGUCAGAGGUCUCAGCUGGAGAGUGCCAACGGGAAGAAUGACAGGAAGUACUCAUGAAUGAUGAGAUAACUUGUGGAGUGGGGCUGGAAAUGGAUACACACACCCGCACAUGCACACACACCCCUCCCAUGCUACAUUUGGCAGAUAGAUAGUCCAGUUAAAACUUCUUGCAUAAUACUAACCUCCCCUUCCUGCUUCUGACCCCUCCCAUUAGAAGGAAUAUUUUAUAAUGCAACCACUAAAUCUUCCAGUAGCAGCAGAGGCAAGGCACAAUUUCAAGUACAUUCCAGAGCUGACACCCAGGCAAUGACGCUGUGGGGAGUGGAGUAUCCUGCCUCUGGGUGCUGAGCUCCCUGACACUGUCAGCAUGCAGGUAGGUUCAGGAGCAUCUUCUAUGUGACAGCUACAGAGCAGCGGAUGUUUCUACUUGGCAAAAGUAAAGACAAUUUUAUUUCAAUCAAAAUCUUACAGGGAACACAAAUACAUAGAAGAGGUUAAAGAACAAUUUCAUCAAAAAGUAAUUGUUUAAUUCAAAUUUAUUCCUUUACACGAGACAGAGUGCUCUAAUAAACAUAAAAAUUUUGGAAAUCCAGUCAUUGAUGAUAACUAUAGUCUCAUGUAAACCCUCGAAUUCAGUUUACCUUUUCAUAUUGGGUUUGGGUUGCACAAUGUCAGAAUACUGAGUGACGUGCAUAUAUACUUACAAAUGACAGCCAGGGGCAAUGUGCAGUCUGCCAUCUUAUUAGUACAACUAUGCAUUUAGACUCAUCAUAGGCCACACUUAGCCCUGGACUCAUUUAGAAGGAUAGAAAGAUAGGAGAGGGAACACAGCCUGCCAUUAGGACAGCACCAAACAUUGUUCUGCAGUGAGAGGAGGCCUGACAGGAGUCACACAGCAGUCUAGGGGCUGCUCUCUGCCCCUCCAGGGAAACUUCAGGUGUGACCGAGUUAGACCUACACAAGUAGGUACAGUAAUGGCUUAGAACUGACCCUGGCUUAAAAUUCCCUCAUUCCUGAUAGGAACCAAUAUAUGUUAUGACAAUAGCUCCAUAGGCAAAGUUUCCAGGUCUCCACAAGGGACAUAUGAGACACAAGAAUCACCGCACUUCAGAAAGUCCAAAACUAUGGUUCCAAAACUGAUAUUUUACUUGAUUCUGUCCUCCCAGUUUGAAGCAGUUCAUGAUUCAAUCACAGGUCAUUUUUAUAAGCAAUAUUGCUCAUGAACACUGCUGGAUUUCCACCCUGAUCAGGGUUCCAGGCAAACAGAACUAGAAAGUUAACCCAAGGUCAAAUUUCAUGAAUAGGAGAAAGGGUUUUGCUAACGCUUUAUUCACACAGUAUCAUUUCCAAAACUCUUCUGGUAUCAAGCUGUUCUAAAAAAGAAAAAAAAGAAUCCAAGCUUAAAAUAAAUUGAAAAUGACAUAUGACACGAUAUAAACAUGCUUCUAAUGUUAUGGUUUCACUUGACUGUUCGGAUCACGACAAACACAGGAACUGGCAGGCAUGGAGUGGACUUGCCGUAGCCUUGUGUGGUAUUUAAGUGAGCUCAGCCUGAGUUCAUAGCACUGAACUGACUUGAACCACAGAUAGGGAAUGGAAUUUACAAUGCUGAAUUUAUAAAGUCACCAGUGUAAUGAUGAACUUUCUGGUACACUUUUUUGGAAAUUCAAAUGCACAGAUAAAUCUGUGGGGGUAAUUUUGUUCUCUUCACCUCGUUUCCUUCUGGAACCAGACAACAACACUUCUUGAACUUCCUAGGACCGUGUAACCCUUGAGCCAAUUAUUGUGUCACUGCCUCUCACUGUCCUCAUGUCUUCACUUUUUUCCUGCAUACUUAGAUGGUGAGGCUAAUUAUUAUAAUCACUCUUUUGCAAUUUCCACUUCCUUUAAUAAUUCCCUCCCUCUUUUAAGUGUCCUGGGGGUCAAAAAUUUCAACCGUGUCAAAAUUCUACUCUCAAUUUACUCUUUACCCGCACCUCAAAAACUGGCCUUGCUUAUAGAAAAAUACACAAUCAUGAUGCCUCUCUCACUGUAAAUUAAUGACUUCUAACAUCAAGUAACCCCAAGUGCUACCCAGUAAUCCUGCUGCGUUUUCUCUCCCUUACUCUGCCAUGCCUCCAGAUAAUAACUAACUUUAAACCUUAUCCUCUUUCCUUAAGCCUUCCACACUUUCCAGUCUUCACUCUUGCCUAAAGAUCUUGCUUUUUACUUCGCUGCAAAAUUGAAAACGAUCAGAAAAUAACUUCCUUUCUCACAACCAAAUGUCCCAAUUUGCCUCCAUCAGUGACCACAAACUCUGGCCUUCCUCCUCUUUUCGUGGAUGAACUGUCUGUGUUCUCUUCUAAGGCCAAACAAGUUACUCAUGUUCUCAAUCUUACCCUCCUCUCAGUGACUCAAGGAUAUCUCUUCAGCAAGUAACUCAGUUUGCUUUACCAGUUUUCUUUCUCUAUUUCAUCCUUCUCAACUGGACGCAGACAUGGUAUAAGAUAUCUCAUCUGAAAAAUAAUGUACCCUCCACCCAGUAACUCUUCAGCUAUCCCCCAUUUCUAUGAUCACUGUCCCCAAAGAGCAAAAUCCCCUGAGUGGUAUCUUCUCAUACACUAUGGCAGAAAUCGGGCUUCAUUUCCAGCACCAUUUCUUUUCCUUGGGAGCACAGGAAGCAGUAUUUCUCAGAAUCCUUUGCAGUUUUGUUGGGUUGGGACUAAGUGAUCUGGCUCUAGGAAUGCAAAUGUGAGCAAAAGUGAUGUAACACAUUCCAUCCAUGGCCAUUAGGUAUCUCUAGUGCCUAAUCCAUCCUUUUUUAUCUCCCACCUGAGUGUAAGAACCACAUGUGUGAAAGCGGAACUAUCAGAUAGGUUUGCCUUAGCAGGAGCUGUGGAGAAGAAGGAGUCAUAGAGAAAGGCUUUUCAUCAGUCAUGGACCUAAAAGCGUGCUCUGUAAUGGUGGACUUCAGACAGAGAUAGAGAGAUCCUAGAUGAGUCAUCCUGGGAUGCAGGAUGCAGUUGCUUCUUUUGUUUUGAGAAUGCUUGGCUGCUUGCUCCAUUCCUACUCAUCAGUAGAAGCUUGUCUUAGUGUUUCAUUUUCAAGGACCUCUUGAUAUAAACUACGGUUUGAAGGACAUUCCGUUCCUAAGUGGGACAGGAGCAGAGCCUGGGCUGCCAUGACCAGUUCUGACAUAUCUCAGGUUGCUGCAUUACCAGAGCAUUCCAAAGUUAUUCCUGAGAACUACAAGUGAGAAAGGUUGGAAAACUGGGUCAGUUCAAGGCCUCCCAAAGAACCAUCCUGCAGCUAUCACGAGAUAUGUCUGUCUGUCUGUCUCUUAAGUAGAGAAGGCAGAGAUUAAAAAUAAAAAAGAUUGGAACAACAAAGAUAUAGGGAAAAAUAAUUUUGGAAGCUACCUUUGUGAAAUCUGUAGAAAGAUGUAGAGAAGAGGAGCUGGUAACAGCCAUGUCUGGACUCCCGGUCACCCUAUUACCACAACCUGUUACCCCAACCCCAUCACUUCACAUAAGAAGCAAAGUUCAUGCUAGCCUAGUAGCCCAUUUCCUCCAAGACAAUUCCCAUCAAGCCUGGCCAGGUGGCUCAGCCCAGACCGAAGCAUGGAGGAUGUGCAGUGUGAAAAAGCACAGACUGAGAUGACCAUGCAGAAAAGAUUUGUAUAAGAAAGCUGGGGCCACCCCUGUAGCCUUGUUUUUAUAAUACUUUCCUGUGUCAAAAAAAUUAAUGAAGUUAAUUUAGAAUGAGAAAUGAUACAUAAUGCCUAUAGGUAUCUCUGAGAAGAUUGCUACAGAGACUAAGAGGAUCAUAGACCUUCCUUCUGGAAUGUUCCUGUUCCUAUCUGUAGGAUGAAUGAGUGGAAUCAGUGACUCAGACAAAGCCACUGUUGCACAACUGUAUGCAUGCACAGUGAACUCUGCAGACUCUGCAGAUGGUUCCUGUAAAUAGCGCUUAAAACCACAGUGGAAAAGCCACAUGCUCCUGAUACACUUGGGGGGACAUAAAGGGAAACCCACACACCCAAGGAGGAGGGCUCUGGCCAUGCAAGGCUGAAGGCCCAGUGUACUGAUAUGAAAACUGAAGCUCAGACAGAAGAGGCGACGUUGCUUUCUUAACCACUGGAUUUGCAGUGCUGUGGUUCUCAGAAGAGGCCAGGACAGGUUAAUCCACUCACUUGGGAGGCAGCCGGUGCAGAGCUGAGAAUUUACCCCAGGCUACCAGCCUUCCGGCUGAGAGAGCAAGCUGACGCACGGUUCCUCAGCUGUCCCAUGGAGCCUGUUGCGGCCAUCCACCUCCUUCAAAGGGUUGAAUGUACAGCUGGUAUAAAAAUGGUGCUUUGUCGUCAUGAAGAAGGUGUAUUCUGGGAUCAAACCACCUGGCUGGAGAUGCUUACUAACCUCAGUUUCUUCAUCUGACCUUACCUUUCUAAAAGAAUAAGAAGAAGAUGAUACAUAUUCCUCUAAAGUCCCAACAGGAACCUUUUCCCCUCACUCCCUCCCCAGAGAUGUGUAUCAUUUCCAUGAGUGUCUGUACUUUUACAACAUGUGCAUAUUAAUAAACAAAAUAUGACAAAUUAUUUUGUCUUAAUAUUUGCAUAAAUCUAGCCAUACUCUACACCACUUUUGCAACUUUCACUAUUAUAUAUUUUGAAGAUUAUCCGUGUUUAUGCACAUAAGUUUAUCAUUUUAACUGUUGAAUAGUGUUUCAUUAUAUGAAUUAACCAUAAUUCAUCUAUUUCCCUGAGUGACAAUUAGGUUUCUUUUUGUUUUUAUGCUCUGAUGAACAAUCUUGCAAUUAUUAUCUUUGUAUAUGUCUUCAUGUAUAAGAAAUUCUCCAGGGUAGACACUUAGAAGUAAAGGGUCUGACUCAGAGAGUCUGUGUAUUUUAAAAUGUAUUGGUUAUUGUCAAAUUGUUCCUCAAAGUAGAU